AUGGAAUACCAAAUAUUGCUUUUUUUUAUUUAUUUUUUUUAUUUCUGUUUUUCAGGGCUAUAAAGUAGUAAGUUCCAAUUAAUUUUAUUGAAUAGUAUUAUUGCUACUCUUGCUUAGGCUAUACCUUUAGUAUGAGUUUGCUUUACGUUAAACGAAAACGAAACGAGAGCGCGUUCGGCGCUCUGAUUGGCCGGUGUGAAUAAACCAACCAAUGUUGACACAUGAUCUUGUAUGGCUUAGGGGCACACAAAUUUCAUGAUUUUUGACCCCCUCUCUCGUCCUUAUCACAUUUGUGAGACCCCCCCCCUCCCUAGUGUGACGUCACAUUUUAUAAUUUUACAUCUAGAUUUUUUUGAGAUUUUAGAUUAUAGUUUCAAGUUCGUGUUUUAACAGUUAGAUUAUAAUAAUUGAAAUGUGACGUCACGAAAUUUAACACCCCUCCCUCCCCCUUGUCACAUAAAGUCACACUUCGUCGACCCCCUUUCCCCCCUUAACGUGUGACGUAAUUAAUGGAUGGCCCCUUAUGUCAAAAUUGUAUCUUUAUUCUUUAGUGAGGUUUACAGAUAGAUAGUUUAUAUGAAAUUGGUCGUUACGAGUUUGUUUUACGUUUAAUGAGGUCGAAACAAGGGCGCGUUCGGUGCUCUGAUUGGUUGGUUCAUUCGAGCCGGCCAAUUAGAGCGCCAAACUCUGAGGUGUAUUCUGAAAAUGGAGUAUCAAUCAAUUCUUUUUAAUCACGUUUCUAUUUCUGAUUUUCAGGGCAAGAAACAAAGCGGCAAGAGCAGCAGCAGCAAGAGCCUUAGCAGCAGCAAGAGCGUAAGAUACAAUUAAUUUGGUUAAAUAGGUAUUAGCCAAGAUAGGCUGGGUACGGUGUUAAUGUGUAAGGAGCCAUAGGCCUACAGUUGCCGGAAACCGUCGCAUGAUCCCGAACGAGAAAAAUCUCGAAAUACCUCUUACACACGAAUAGAUCGACGGAUAUCAAAAAUUUGAUAAAUUACUCUUACAGAUGUGUGUUCUGAAAAUGGAGUACAGUAGAAGCUCUUUAUUCGCGGGGUAUGCGUUCCGUAAAUAUGCCGUGAAUAUGGAAUGCUAAUUUGUAUGGGGUUAUAGGGGAUUCGUUCCUAAAUGACGAAAUCAAGAAGCAAAUAGUAGAUAAAAAAAUGUUUAUUUGAACUUUCCUGAUCAUACAGAUUGCCUGAUGAUAAUAUUAUUAUCAUCAGGUUUAGGUCACACUAGAUUUAGGCAGAAGUCACAAUCUAGACGUAUUGUAAUAAGGUCUAUUUUAUUUUUUUAUCCUUCUACUGACGCGUUGACAAAGGAUAGCGAAUGUAUUUUUUUAGGUUAUGCACCGAUAUUUCGAUUCGAUCCGCGAAUAAAGAAAUUGGAUCGCAUUUUUUCAAUCCGCGAAUAGUGAAAACACGAAUGAAGGAAGCGCGAAUAAGGAGCUUCUACUGUACUAAACAUUGUUUUAAUUUAUUUCACAUUUCUAUUUCUGAUUUUCAGCUUAGCAGCAGCAAGAGCGUAAGAUACAAUUAAUUUAAUAAAAACUAGCUAGUCUUGUUCUUUGUCCUAGGAAUAAAGUAUGAUUACAACGGUGAAAGAUUUUUCUAAAGCGGUCCGGUAGUUUCGGUCCCUAUGCAAUUCAAACGGGAGGUUGGAAUCGGUUGUAACAAUUUUUAUUUAGAUGGUUGUAGCAGUAAUUUUAAUUUGUGUAUUGUAGAUGCCAUAAGUGUAGCCAGGUUUUAGUAUCGGGAGGGGUUCAAGAAAGUCGACGCAUUAAAUGUAAAAAAAAAAACUUCCUUCAUACAUGAGAAAAAAAGAAAAUUUAUGUCAUAUGUAAUAAACAGAUUCAUAAAAAUAGUCAUAGAGACCAAACAGGGGAUGUACUAUGCUAACUACAAAAAUAACGCUCUGUAAUGUCUAGGUACGCAUUUUCGGGGGGGUUUGAACCCCCAAACCCCCCCCCCUGGCUACGCCUAUGGUUGGUUGGUAUGGUUAGAAAUGAUACUUAUAGGACAUAAGCCUAAAGUACUAAACAUUGCUUUAAUUUAUUUCACAUUUCUAUUUCUGAUUUUCAGAGCAGCAGCAAGAGCGUAAGUAACAAUUAAUUUUAUUAAAUACUAGUUAAGGUGGGCUGGGUACGGUUGUAACAACGCAAAUAUCACCGAAACUAACCUAUAGGUUAGGGGUGAACAUUGCACCUGACGUUGCUAGUAGUUGUAAUUAUUAUUGUAACUAGUGGUCGCCUAGUGGUCGAAAUUCGACCAUAUACGAUUUAAUUUACGAUACCACUUAACAUACGUUCAAGCCUUCAAGGAUAAUUUUUAUUUAACGAUAUUUGCUAUUAGUUUUGUAAAAUUCAAAUUAAUAUAUACCAGCGCAUCAUGAACAGGAAAACUCUAUUCAUAUGAGACGUGAAAAUAUCAUCGCAAAGUCUGUCGAUUUUGACGUUUUGUCAAAUAAUUAUGUCUGUCGAUUUUGACGUUUUGUCAAAUACGAUCAGAUACUAUGCAUGGUAGUGUGUGUAAUGUUUUAUUUAUUGAUAUAUUUUUUAACGGUAAUAUUUUUCAAAAAUAAUUCUUUAUAAGCAUUAUUUUUGAAAAAUAUUAUACCGUUCUCAACUUCUCCUACACAUAAACUAUAAGUGUACCAAAUUGUAUGCUUCUACGUCCGCGCAAUUUUCGUAAAAUGGGGUCCAAAGUAUUUGUAUCACGUAUUAACAUAUAGAUAUGGACAAUUAAAGGAAAAUUGUUACAACCGUACCCAGCCUACCCUACCCUUGCUCUCCGUCCGUAGACCCGCACUUGGGCUGACGUCACUUGCAUAUUCUAAUAUGUAUGGAGCCUACGCCAUAGGCCAUUUGUUUUUUUUUUAACUUACACACAUACAGAACAAUGGAUAUUAAAAAAAUUAUAAGUUACUCUUGCUCGUUAAGUUGACUGCCUCGGUGGCCUAAUGGUUGCAAGUGCGACUGCCGGGCAAGGGGUCUCGGGUUCGAUUCCCGGGUCGGGCGAAGUAUUGCUGGGCUUUUUUCGGUUUUUCGAAAAUUUCUCAGUAGUAGCACGGAGUCUGGAAAUGUGCCCGGUAUAUAGCAAUAGGCUCACCACCUAUUACAUGGGACUUACAACAUAAAUUGUGAAAAGUGGGUGUACACAGUGCCAUUACGUGUCAUAAUGUGCAUCUCUGCCUACCCCUUCGGGGAUUAAGGGCGUGACGAUAUGUAUGAUAAGUUACUCUUACAGAUAUGUGUUCUGGAAAUGGAGUACUGAACAUUGUUUUAUUUUAUUUCAUAUUUCUUUUUCUGAUUUUCAUAGCAGCAAAAGCGUAAGAUACAAUUAAUUUACAUUAAAUAUACGCGUCGAUAUUUUAAUACCUACAUAUAUUGAAAUGUUAAAAUAAUUUAUUUUUGACAUAGGAAACUCCCCAAUUAUUUUGAAAAACUAUAAUAUAUAAACAAGUUUUACUUUAAUAGUUAGUUUAAGAAAGACAAAAUCUUUUUAUGUUUUAAAUUAUAUUUAAUUACUUU
Spodoptera frugiperda (fall armyworm) is the source of this 3523-nucleotide long non-coding RNA. RefSeq lists it as uncharacterized. The record is from RefSeq and is a predicted model, not a curated record. The transcript has 4 exons. Lineage: Eukaryota; Metazoa; Arthropoda; Insecta; Lepidoptera; Noctuidae.